GCGAUCCUAUCAGCACUAAUGCACAGGAUCCCAUCAGAACUCCGAAGUUAAACGUGCUUGGGCGAGAGCAGUACUAGGAUGGGUGAUCCCCUGGGAAGUCCUCGUGUUGAACCU
Molecule: ribosomal RNA, 114 nt
Filed under: Zingiber officinale
Lineage: Eukaryota; Viridiplantae; Streptophyta; Magnoliopsida; Zingiberales; Zingiberaceae
Source: RNAcentral